RNAcentral lists this ribosomal RNA (462 nucleotides) under uncultured bacterium. RNAcentral describes it as "partial 16S ribosomal RNA". It matches the Rfam family "Bacterial small subunit ribosomal RNA", at positions 28 to 507 of the family's 1533-position model. The record is from RNAcentral.
GAUGAACGCUGACAGAAUGCUUAACACAUGCAAGUCUUUGGCGAAGCUGUGCUUGCACCGCCUAGCCAAGGCGGACGGGUGAGUAACGCGUAAGGAACUUGCCCUGCAGUCAGGGAUAACAGACGGAAACGACUGAUAAGACCUGGUAAAGUCAGGCGGACUCAUGUCCAGCCUGAUGAAAAGAGAUGCUGCAGGAGAGCCUUGCGUCCUAUUAGCUUGUUGGUGGGGUAACGGCCCACCAAGGCGAUGAUAGGUAGCCGGCCUGAGAGGGUGGACGGCCACAAGGGGACUGAGAUACGGCCCUUACUCCUACGGGAGGCAGCAGUGGGGAAUAUUGGACAAUGGGGGCAACCCUGAUCCAGCAAUUCUGUGUGCACGAUGAAGGUUUUCGGAUUGUAAAGUGCUUUCAGCAGGGAAGAAAAAAUGACGGUACCUGCAGAAGAAGCGACGGCUAAAUACGUG